AUUCAACAGGCAAAAAUCGCUGUUACUGAGAGUAAGAAACAUUUUUUUUUUUCAAGUUUGCUUUUGCUCUCCUGUCUUUCAGGACUGUGUGUUUUCAGCCACUUUCUGCUAGCUUGGAGCAAAUGCGUGGACAUUCUCCUUUGGAGACAGGCUAUGGAUGGAGUCAAAGAACUUAAGAUGAAGAGUUUCUGCAAAAAUACAGCCGAGAGGGUCUUGCACUUCUCAGAAUCUGUCCUGUAGAGAAACUCAGGAAUGUGCAAGGAUAAACUGACAAGGAAGUUAAACAAGUGCUAGCCCACCCAUGUUCAAGACUAUGUGAUUAUUAAUGGUGCAGAUCUAUGUAUUGAUAAGGA
RNAcentral lists this long non-coding RNA (353 nucleotides) under Capra hircus (goat). RNAcentral describes it as "lncRNA (ENSCHIG00000007045.1)". Lineage: Eukaryota; Metazoa; Chordata; Mammalia; Artiodactyla; Bovidae. The record is from RNAcentral.